This 261-nucleotide ribosomal RNA is filed under the name uncultured prokaryote. Its description in RNAcentral is "partial 16S ribosomal RNA". It matches the Rfam family "Bacterial small subunit ribosomal RNA", at positions 524 to 784 of the family's 1533-position model. The record is from RNAcentral.
UACGUAGGUGGCAAGCGUUGUCCGGAUUUACUGGGUGUAAAGGGCGUGUAGGCGGGGAUGCAAGUCAGAUGUGAAAUUCCGGGGCUCAGCCCCGGCGCUGCAUCUGAAACUGUAUCUCUUGAGUGCUGGAGAGGAAAGCGGAAUUCCUAGUGUAGCGGUGAAACGCGUAGAUAUUAGGAGGAACACCAGUGGCGAGGGCGGCUUUCUGGACAGUAACUGACGCUGAGGCGCGAAAGCGUGGGGAGCGAACAGGAUUAGAUA